GGUUGUAAUACCACAGUAGUUAAUUCUGCUUAAUUGAGACUUUUUCGCCGCCUAAGUGGACACUGCCCUCUAGUGGUGACAAAAGAGUAAAACGCGCUACAGGUAAAAUUCAAUAUGGCGGAGAAGACAAGAGAACGGUCUGGUGGUCACUCCAAACCGAAACAUCGACGAGCGCGUUUAGUGCUCUACGAUGCUGCACCUCCAGCGGGUCCUGGCGCUGGAGAAGAUGACGGUGACACAGGUCAACGGCCAGCGGAAGUACGGAGGCCCACCAGAGGGUCUUCCUCGCGGUCCAGCACAGUACGGAGAAGAGGAAACUGUGCUUUGGAGAGCUGCCGGCCUCCACCAGGCAGGAGGACCUGCUGCAGUGCUGCAAGGGCUUGCAGAGGGGGUGAAGCGGUUGUCCCUGAAGCCGGACCUGAAGGGGGUGUCCGCCAUAGUGGCCUUCUCUACCCAUCACACGGCUUCUAUGGCCAAGAAGGGGCUGGUGGAAGCGUUCAAGAGGCAUUUUAAUUUAACUGUCAUGGUCAAGUGGCACACACGAUGAGCCCAAAGGAGCCAUGGGCUCAUCAGAAGCCCUCCCGCUACCUCCCCUACACCGUUGGACGGAACUGUCCAAUAAAUGCAGAACACUUGUUCA
RNAcentral lists this long non-coding RNA (640 nucleotides) under Betta splendens (Siamese fighting fish). RNAcentral's name for it is "lncRNA (ENSBSLG00000003089.1)". The record is from RNAcentral. Lineage: Eukaryota; Metazoa; Chordata; Actinopteri; Anabantiformes; Osphronemidae.